RNAcentral lists this ribosomal RNA (2141 nucleotides) under Providencia rettgeri. Its description in RNAcentral is "partial 23S ribosomal RNA". It matches the Rfam family "Bacterial large subunit ribosomal RNA", at positions 1 to 2162 of the family's 2925-position model. The record is from RNAcentral. Lineage: Bacteria; Pseudomonadati; Pseudomonadota; Gammaproteobacteria; Enterobacterales; Morganellaceae.
GGUUAAGCGACUAAGCGUACACGGUGGAUGCCUAGGCAAUCAGAGGCGAUGAAGGACGUGCUAAUCUGCGAUAAGCGUCGGUAAGGUGAUAUGAACCGUUACAACCGACGAUUUCCGAAUGGGGAAACCCAGUGCAAUUCGUUGCACUAUCGUUUGAUGAAUACAUAGUCAAACGAAGCGAACCGGGGGAACUGAAACAUCUCAGUACCCCGAGGAAAAGAAAUCAACCGAGAUUCCCCUAGUAGCGGCGAGCGAACGGGGAGCAGCCCAGAGUCUUAAUCAGCAUUAGCAUCAGGAGAACGGUCUGGAAAGGCCGGCAGUAAAGGGUGAUAGCCCCGUAUCCGAAGGUGUUGGUGUUGUGAACUCGACGAGUAGGGCGGGACACGUGUUAUCCUGUCUGAAUAUGGGGGGACCAUCCUCCAAGGCUAAAUACUCCUGAUUGACCGAUAGUGAACCAGUACCGUGAGGGAAAGGCGAAAAGAACCCCGGCGAGGGGAGUGAAAUAGAACCUGAAACCGUGUACGUACAAGCAGUGGGAGCCUUGAUUUAUCAGGGUGACUGCGUACCUUUUGUAUAAUGGGUCAGCGACUUAUAUUCUGUAGCAAGGUUAACCGUAUAGGGGAGCCGUAGGGAAACCGAGUCUUAACUGGGCGAAUGAGUUGCAGGGUAUAGACCCGAAACCCGGUGAUCUAGCCAUGGGCAGGUUGAAGGUUGGGUAACACUAACUGGAGGACCGAACCGACUAAUGUUGAAAAAUUAGCGGAUGACUUGUGGCUGGGGGUGAAAGGCCAAUCAAACCGGGAGAUAGCUGGUUCUCCCCGAAAGCUAUUUAGGUAGCGCCUCGUGAACUCAUCUUCGGGGGUAGAGCACUGUUUCGACUAGGGGGUCAUCCCGACUUACCAACUCGAUGCAAACUACGAAUACCGAAGAAUGUUAUCACGGGAGACACACGGCGGGUGCUAACGUUCGUCGUGAAGAGGGAAACAACCCAGACCGCCAGCUAAGGUCCCAAAGUCAUAGUUAAGUGGGAAACGAAGUGGGAAGGCUCAGACAGCCAGGAUGUUGGCUUAGAAGCAGCCAUCAUUUAAAGAAAGCGUAAUAGCUCACUGGUCGAGUCGGCCUGCGCGGAAGAUGUAACGGGGCUAAACUAUGCACCGAAGCUGCGGCAGCGAUAUGUAAAUAUUGUUGGGUAGGGGAGCGUUCUGUAAGCCUGUGAAGGUGUACUGUGAGGUAUGCUGGAGGUAUCAGAAGUGCGAAUGCUGACAUAAGUAACGAUAAUGCGGGUGAAAAACCCGCACGCCGGAAGACCAAGGGUUCCUGUCCAACGUUAAUCGGGGCAGGGUGAGUCGACCCCUAAGGCGAGGCAGAAAUGCGUAGUCGAUGGGAAACGGGUUAAUAUUCCCGUACUGGUGAUAAUUGCGAUGGGGGGACGGAGAAGGCUAGGCUAUCCGGGCGACGGUUGUCCCGGUUUAAGGAUGUAGGCAGGUGAAUUAGGCAAAUCCGGUUCACUACAUGCUGAGGUCCGACGACGAGUCACUACGGUGAUGAAGUAGCUCAUGCCCCGCUUCCAGGAAAAGCCUCUAAGCUCUAGAUUAUCAUUAAUCGUACCCCAAACCGACACAGGUGGUCAGGUAGAGAAUACUCAGGCGCUUGAGAGAACUCGGGUGAAGGAACUAGGCAAAAUGGUGCCGUAACUUCGGGAGAAGGCACGCUGGCGCUAGGUGAAGUCCCUCGCGGAUGGAGCUGAAGCCAGUCGCAGAUACCAGCUGGCUGCAACUGUUUAUUAAAAACACAGCACUGUGCAAACACGAAAGUGGACGUAUACGGUGUGACGCCUGCCCGGUGCUGGAAGGUUAAUUGAUGGGGUUAUCCGUAAGGAGAAGCUCUUGAUCGAAGCCCCAGUAAACGGCGGCCGUAACUAUAACGGUCCUAAGGUAGCGAAAUUCCUUGUCGGGUAAGUUCCGACCUGCACGAAUGGCGUAAUGAUGGCCAGGCUGUCUCCACCCGAGACUCAGUGAAAUUGAACUCGCUGUGAAGAUGCAGUGUACCCGCGGCAAGACGGAAAGACCCCGUGAACCUUUACUAUAGCUUGACACUGAACAUUGAGCCUUGAUGUGUAGGAUAGGUGGGAGGCUUUGAAG